This 207-nucleotide ribosomal RNA is filed under the name uncultured bacterium. RNAcentral describes it as "partial 16S ribosomal RNA". It matches the Rfam family "Bacterial small subunit ribosomal RNA", at positions 568 to 774 of the family's 1533-position model. The record is from RNAcentral.
CACGUAGGCGGCUUGGUAUGUCGGGUGUGAAAUCCCCGGGCUCAACCUGGGAACUGCAUCCGAAACUGCCUUGCUAGAGUAUGGGAGAGGGAAGUGGAAUUUCCGGUGUAGCGGUGAAAUGCGUAGAUAUCGGAAGGAACAUCAGUGGCGAAGGCGACUUCCUGGACCAAUACUGACGCUCAGGUGCGAAAGCGUGGGGAGCAAACA